Molecule: ribosomal RNA, 468 nt
Filed under: uncultured bacterium
Lineage: Bacteria
Description: partial 16S ribosomal RNA
Rfam family: Bacterial small subunit ribosomal RNA
Source: RNAcentral
GACGAACGCUGGCGGCGUGCUUAACACAUGCAAGUCGAACGGAAAGGCCCUGCUUUUGUGGGGUGCUCGAGUGGCGAACGGGUGAGUAACAAGUGAGUAACCUGCCCUUGACUUUGGGAUAACUUCAGGAAACUGGGGCUAAUAACGGAUAGGAGCUCCUGCUGCAUGGUGGGGGUUGGAAAGUUUCGGCGGUUGGGGAUGGACUCGCGGCUUAUCAGCUUGUUGGUGGGGUAGUGGCUUACCAAGGCUUUGACGGGUAGCCGGCCUGAGAGGGUGACCGGCCACAUUGGGACUGAGAUACGGCCCAGACUCCUACGGGAGGCAGCAGUGGGGAGUAUUGCACAAUGGGCGGAAGCCUGAUGCAGCAACGCCGCGUGCGGGAUGACGGCCUUCGGGUUGUGAACCGCUUUCGCCUGUGACGAAGCGUGAGUGACGGUAAUGGGUAAAGAAGCACCGGCUAACUACGUG